UUUGAUCAUGGCUCAGGAUGAACGCUAGCGGCAGGCUUAAUACAUGCAAGUCGUACGGGAUCCGAGGUAGCAAUACUUUGGUGAGAGUGGCGCACGGGUGCGUAACACGUAUGCAACCUACCUAUAACCGGGACACAACCCACCGAAAGGUGAGCUAAUAUCCCAUUACACUGCGAGAUGGCAUCAUUUUGCAGUUAAAACUCCGGUGGUUAUAGAUGGGCAUGCGCGACAUUAGCUAGUUGGUGAGGUAACGGCCCACCAAGGCUACGAUGUCUAGGGGUUCUGAGAGGAUUAUCCCCCACACUGGUACUGAGACACGGACCAGACUCCUACGGGAGGCAGCAGUAAGGAAUAUUGGUCAAUGGGCGCAAGCCUGAAWSAGKCAUGCCGCGUGAAGGAUGACGGCCCUAUGGGUUGUAAACUUCUUUUGUACGGGAAAAAACCACAGGUCGAGUAUCUGUGCUGAUGGUACCGUAAGAAUAAGCAUCGGCUAACUCCGUGCCAGCAGCCGCGGUAAUACGGAGGAUGCAAGCGUUAUCCGGAUUCAUUGGGUUUAAAGGGUGCGCAGGCGGAAUAAUAAGUCAGUGGUGAAAGCCUACAGCUUAACUGUAGAACUGCCAUUGAUACUGUCAUUCUUGAGUAUUGUUGAGGUAGGCGGAAUGUGUCAUGUAGCGGUGAAAUGCUUAGAUAUGACACAGAACACCGAUCGCGGAGGCAGCUUACCAAGCAAUAACUGACGCUCAUGCACGAAAGCGUGGGGAUCAAACAGGAUUAGAUACCCUGGUAGUCCACGCCGUAAACGAUGAUCACUCGAUGUUGGCGAUACACAGUCAGCGUCUUAGGGAAACUAUUAAGUGAUCCACCUGGGGAGUACGG
This 876-nucleotide ribosomal RNA is filed under the name uncultured bacterium. RNAcentral describes it as "bacterial SSU rRNA". It matches the Rfam family "Bacterial small subunit ribosomal RNA", at positions 12 to 885 of the family's 1533-position model. The record is from RNAcentral.